GAUGAACGCUAGCGGCAGGCCUAAUACAUGCAAGCCGGACGGCAAGUUGAGUAGCAAUACUUGACCUAGAGUGGCGUAAGGGUGCGUAACACGUAUGCAAUCUGCCCACAGCCGGGAGAUAGCCCUCCGAAAGGAGGAUUAAUAUCCCAUAGGAAGAUGAGAUGGCAUCAUUUUAUUUUUAAACUACGGGGCUGUGGAUGAGCAUGCGGUUGAUUAGCUAGUUGGCGGGGUAAAGGCCCACCAAGGCGAUGAUCAAUAGGGGACCUGAGAGGGUGAUCCCCCACACUGGCACUGAGAUACGGGCCAGACUCCUACGGGAGGCAGCAGUAGGGAAUAUUGGACAAUGGGUGUAAGCCUGAUCCAGCCAUGCCGCGUGCAGGAAGAAGGCCCUUUCUGGGGGUUUGUAAAAACCUUGGCUUUUUGCCCGGGGGGAUAAAAAGAUCCAUGCGUGGAGAAUUGAAGGUACCCGGUGAAUAAGCCACGGCUAAACUACGUGCCAGCAGCCGCGGUAA
This 512-nucleotide ribosomal RNA is filed under the name uncultured bacterium. RNAcentral describes it as "bacterial SSU rRNA". It matches the Rfam family "Bacterial small subunit ribosomal RNA", at positions 28 to 523 of the family's 1533-position model. The record is from RNAcentral.